This 274-nucleotide ribosomal RNA is filed under the name uncultured bacterium. RNAcentral's name for it is "partial 16S ribosomal RNA". It matches the Rfam family "Bacterial small subunit ribosomal RNA", at positions 523 to 796 of the family's 1533-position model. The record is from RNAcentral.
AUACGGAGGGGGUUAGCGUUGUUCGGAAUUACUGGGCGUAAAGCGCGCGUAGGCGGCUUUGUAAGUCACCUGUGAAAUCCCGGGGCUCAACUCCGGGGCUGCAGGUGAUACUGCAAAGCUAGAGCUCGGUAGAGGCAAGUGGAAUUCCCGGUGUAGCGGUGGAAUGCGUAGAUAUCGGGAAGAACACCAGUGGCGAAGGCGGCUUGCUGGGCCGAUGCUGACGCUGAGGUGCGAAAGCGUGGGGAGCAAACAGGAUUAGAUACCCGAGUAGUCC